Molecule: non-coding RNA, 119 nt
Organism: Acanthosepion pharaonis
Lineage: Eukaryota; Metazoa; Mollusca; Cephalopoda; Sepiida; Sepiidae
Source: the annotation of a GenBank genome assembly
UUACGGUCAAAUCACGCUGAAAAACACCGGUUCUCGUUCGAUCACCGAAGUUAAGCAUCGUAGAAAUCCAGGUCAGUACUUAGAUGGGGGACCCGCUUGGGAACACCUGGUACUGUAAG